UACGUAGGGUGCAAGCGUUGUCCGGAAUUAUUGGGCGUAAAGAGCUCGUAGGCGGUCUGUCACGUCGGCUGUGAAAACCUGGGGCUCAACCCUGGGCCUGCAGCCGAUACGGGCAGACUAGAAUUCGGUAGGGGAGACUGGAAUUCCUGGUGUAGCGGUGAAAUGCGCAGAUAUCAGGAGGAACACCGGUGGCGAAGGCGGGUCUCUGGGCCGAUAUUGACGCUGAGGAGCGAAAGCGUGGGGAGCGAACAGG
This 253-nucleotide ribosomal RNA is filed under the name uncultured bacterium. RNAcentral's name for it is "partial 16S ribosomal RNA". It matches the Rfam family "Bacterial small subunit ribosomal RNA", at positions 524 to 776 of the family's 1533-position model. The record is from RNAcentral.